RNAcentral lists this ribosomal RNA (257 nucleotides) under uncultured Bacillota bacterium. Its description in RNAcentral is "uncultured Firmicutes bacterium partial 16S ribosomal RNA". It matches the Rfam family "Bacterial small subunit ribosomal RNA", at positions 1128 to 1378 of the family's 1533-position model. Lineage: Bacteria; Bacillati; Bacillota. The record is from RNAcentral.
AAGAUGAGCACUCUAAUGAGACCGCCGGUGACAAACCGGAUGAAGGUGGGGAUGACGUCAAAUCAUCAUGCCCCUUAUCGACCUGGGCUACACGCGUGCUACAAUGGCCGGUACAAAGAGUCGCAAAACCGCGAGGUGGAGCUAAUCUCACAAAACCGGUCUCAGUUCAGAUUGUAGUCUGCAACUCGACUACAUGAAGGUGGAAUCGCUAGUAAUCGCAAAUCAGCAUGUUGCGGUGAAUACGUUCUCGAGGUCUU